UCCCUCGUAGCUCAAUCGGCAGCAGCGCCCGGCUGUUAACCGGGACAUCCCGGUUCGAGUCCGGGCGAGGGAG
This 73-nucleotide transfer RNA is filed under the name Actinoplanes lutulentus. RNAcentral's name for it is "tRNA-Asn". It matches the Rfam family "tRNA". From Rfam's summary of the family: Transfer RNA (tRNA) molecules are approximately 80 nucleotides in length. Their secondary structure includes four short double-helical elements and three loops (D, anti-codon, and T loops). Lineage: Bacteria; Bacillati; Actinomycetota; Actinomycetes; Micromonosporales; Micromonosporaceae. The record is from RNAcentral.